CAUAAGAGUGUGGCUAUAUUUAGUUUUUUGCUUACUGCUCAAGUGUGGAACCCAAGUUCCUGUACCAAUGAACCCAUAAAUACAAUUGGUCUGAGUGAAUACAAUCAUUCUAUUAUGGAUAGUUAUAUCUGGUUAAUAAUUAUGGGUUAGUGGCACCAACAGUGUUCGGUUAGUCAAGAAUUAAGCCAACAAACAGUACAUAAAAAUGUUAACCAGAGUUUAACUCUGUAAAUGGGUUAUCAUCGGGCUGAUGCAUCUUAUUAUGGAAACUGCAACUCUGAGUUCAACCUGUACGAUGCACUAUCAUCCAAUGUAUAUUUUUCUGUGUUUGUAUUCUGCUUCGAUGAGAAGAUGGGAGCCCACCUGCAUAAAUUAAAAAAAAAAAAAAAAAC
Molecule: non-coding RNA, 392 nt
Organism: Pelobates cultripes (western spadefoot toad)
Lineage: Eukaryota; Metazoa; Chordata; Amphibia; Anura; Pelobatidae
Source: the annotation of a GenBank genome assembly